GGAUUAGAUACCCUGGUAGUCCACGCCGUAAACGAUGAUGACUAGCUGUCGGGAUGCUUGGCAUUUCGGUGGCGCAGCUAACGCAUUAAGUCAUCCGCCUGGGGAGUACGGCCGCAAGGUUAAAACUCAAAGGAAUUGACGGGGGCCUGCACAAGCGGUGGAGCAUGUGGUUUAAUUCGAAGCAACGCGCAGAACCUUACCAGCGUUUGACAUGUCCGGUUUGGUUUCCAGAGAUGGAUUCCUUCAGUUCGGCUGGCCGGAACACAGGUGCUGCAUGGCUGUCGUCAGCUCGUGCCG
This 297-nucleotide ribosomal RNA is filed under the name uncultured bacterium. RNAcentral's name for it is "partial 16S ribosomal RNA". It matches the Rfam family "Bacterial small subunit ribosomal RNA", at positions 775 to 1067 of the family's 1533-position model. The record is from RNAcentral.